GAUGAAGAACGGAGCGAAAUGCGAUAAGUAAUGUGAAUUGCAGAAUUCAGUGAAUCAUCGAAUCUUUGAACGCACAUUGCGCCCUCUGGUAUUCCGGGGGGCAUGCCUGUUCGAGCGUCAUUACAACCCUCAAGCUUUGCUUGGUAUUGGACAUUGCCAGUUUCUGGCAGGUCUUAAAAUCAGUGGCGGUGCCAUUUGGCUUCAAGCGUAGUAAUUCUUCUCGCUUUGGAGAUCCAGGUGGUUACUUGCCAAUAACCCCCAAUUUUUUCAGGUUGACCUCGGAUCAGGCAGGGAUACCCGCUGAACUUAAGCAUAUCAAUAAGCGGAGGA
Molecule: unclassified non-coding RNA, 330 nt
Filed under: soil metagenome
Description: partial contains 5.8S ribosomal RNA, internal transcribed spacer 2, and large subunit ribosomal RNA
Rfam family: 5.8S ribosomal RNA (bases 1-120)
Source: RNAcentral